GCUCCUGGCUUAAGGCGCAUUUGGAAGUCUUUGAAACGCCUGGACGGAAAGAGGAGGAGUGGGUGCAGAAUUAGUGUCAGUGCCACGAACAGUGAAAACACCUCAAGUGGGAGAUGGGCUAUAACUUGUUGGAAGAGGCAGAAAGGUCGCACGGCGCUGCUGUGCACGAGUGAAUAGUUCAAGGCAUUUUGAUGCAGAGAAAAACCAAUUAAGAUACAACCACUGCUGACAUUCCCCUGAGCCGUUUCAUCUCUCACCGCUUCAAAAAAGCAAGGAAAAACAAAUUACGUCCUUUCAAUCCCAGAUUUAUAUAGGAUGAGUUGUUGCUUAGCCUAUGAAAAGAUCAAAAAGGAGAUCUUGGAAAGAAAGAUCACCUACAAAGGAUGCCGGACUAUUAUUACACACAGACGCAAAUAGGUUUAAUAAGCACGGUUCAGGUCAAAAUGUAGACAAGUGCAGUGUGUGCAGCAAAGUGCGAACGAGGGCUGCUUUCUCAGGCAUUUCACAGCUGGCAGUAGGAGAGUAAAGCACAGUGCUGAGGUUUUGGCUGCAGCUGCAACACUGGUGGAGCUCAGUGGGCUGCAAAUCGUUGGGGCUGCGGGAUGGAUGGGAGCUCCUGCCUGAGCUAAAGGGGUGGUGGAGGCAGGGGACAGGGCCGGGGCACCGUGUCACCUCCUGCUGUGGGCUCUGGAGGUGUCCCACUUCUUUGGAGGCUGAGCCGAUUCCUAACACUGAGCAAGGUGGAGAUCGCUGCAUGGGUUUUGCUGGCCAUGGCUUUAGAGCAGCCCUCCUGCAUCUGCAGGGACAAAGGGGGCAGAUGGGGAGGAAGAGGAGGAGGUCGAAGAGGAGGAAGGUGAUGAUGAGCAGGCGAGGCUGCCCGGCCUUUCUCCCCGACCACCCGGAGCUGCUUUCAAAGCGAGCCCCGGUGAAGCCGUGGGGUUGAGGCGAAGCAAACAGACGCCGUAAUUGAGCUGCGCACUGUCUCAUCUCCGCGGCGAGUUGCAAAAUGUGCCGCCUACCUCCCUCGUCAGCCAGCUUUAAUUGGCUUUAAUGAAGAGCCUGAACGGAAGCAACGUGCGAGAGCUGGGCCAGAUCCAGCAGCCUCCACCCUCAGAAGGGUGGGGCAGAUAAAAGCUCUUCUGGCUUUCCUCUCCGCCUGUCACUGCCUCCCACAGAGCUCAUCAGCCCCAUACCCCCAUUUCCUAUUGAUUGCAGCCUCAGCGCCUGCCCUGAAUUUGCUAUAGUGGAUGGGCCAAUGGGUCUGGCAUCCUGUACCCCACAGUUUGCCAAUCCGGGCAUCAUCCAGGGUAGCCGUCAUCAUCUGCAUCCUCAUCCUGGUGCCCCUCUUGGGAUACCCAAGUUCUCACCCCAUGUGGCCACCACAAUGAUGUGACACAUCCCAGGCUCCUGACAGUGAUGCCCCCUGUGCGCCUUCACAAAAAUAAGGUAUUUCUGGGAUAAGACAUGGCCUAGUAGCACUCCCAGCCCUGGAAGUACGUCAUGUUGAGGGUGAAGGUGCUGCUAAAUAAAGGGACUUUUUCAUGGGAUAAAACAACCUCCUCCCUCGGUGGUGCCACCAUGGUGUGGCUGCAGUGACUCAGUGGGCACACAUUGCGUGGGAAGGUGUUUCUCCUCCAUGGCAACAAAACAUUCAGGGUAUGGAUCUGCUGGAGUGGAUUGCCCUUUCCUGAAUAAUCAUGACAUAAUUGCCAAUUGAGGAGGCUAUGUCAGGGCUGUAUCAAAAAGUCCCGCACGAAGGAGAAGCACUGAUUGGUGAUAAGUGGCAAGUGAAGGUUGAAGUCCCCGAAGAAAAAAAAUGGGUUUCCGGCAGCAGGUGUGAUCCUUCCAGGCCUCUGGAGGGUAAGUGAAGGAGAAGCAGCUGAGUCACCACAGAUAAGGGGCAGGCUCCUUCUCUUAUCGGCUAUGGGUGUACAGGCAGGGCUGAGCUGAGGGCUUGUCACUCUGCAAAGAAAUGUGCUCAUAGGGCGGCCAGACCCUAACACCCAGCACCAGGGACACCGUGCUGCCCACCCAGGGCACUGGGACCAAACCUGUGUUGCUAUUGCCCCAUGGGACACCGGGUUUCUCUUGGCACUGGCAAAGCACAGCCCUUGCUGCUGACUGCUGGCAGAGCCACGAGCCACAUGGUGCUAAUUGAUGGGUGGUUAAAUGAAUCCUGAAUGGCAGAGCUCCACCAAGCACCUGUGGCCAUCAUCAUGCGUGGGAGAUGGUGCUUGUCAAGAAGGGAAGGCCGGGAUUAGGGACUGAGCCAUUCUGGCAGUAGUAGGUGGGGGGAAAAAGGGGAAGGAGGGAGAUGGGCACACUGAAAGCUGGCACUUCUCCUCCUGCCUUUGAGCAGCUCUGCUCCUCAGGGUCUCCAGGGGACAUUGGCCAUGAAGCCUGCUGCCCUGGGCUGGUGGGGUUAAGUGCCAGGAGCUUUGGCUUCGUUUGGCACUAUUUCUGAAAAUGAAUGGUUUGCUCUCUCAUUUACUCCUUUUUGGCCACCUCUAAGCAGGACAAACAAACACACGUGUUUGUGAAGGGGUGUCCAAGCUCUGUCCAUGCCCAGAACACCCUGUCCUACCCGUGCUGGUACUUGCAUCAAAAGCCAUGACAUUUUAGCUCCGUGUCCCACCCGGCCACCCGCACCCAGCCGCAGCCUUCGCCACUGCUGAUGCAAGCCUGAGUGUUCAUUUCUGGGGAAGGUUGUCCAAUUAUGGGAAAUCCGUCCAGUUCUGUGACUUUGACUCUUGCCCCAUUAAAGCUGAAGGAAUGCCUGAGUCAUUCCGACGCCUGCCAAGAGCCUUAACUCUUUUUUCUCCACCCGGAGUUUCUUUCCCAGCUCCGAGGCUUGGCAGCCUGUGGGAUCGGCGUGUUGGUAUUGCUCUCUGAUCUGAGUAGGAGCACAAUAGUUACAAUCUUCAAUAAUAACAACAACAGUGACCUAACAAUAAUGUAGACAACAUAAUUAAUAACCAUAAUAAUUCAAUUAAUUGUUGAAUAUUAAAGCUAAGGGAUUUGCAGUAUUGUAUUCCUACUGCCGGAACCCCCUCUGGUUACAGUGGCCCUGGAAAAGCUUGGAUUAAACUCACUGCAGGCUGAGUAGAACUGGCUCAGUUCUACUCUAUGAGUGUCACCCUAAAGGAAACCUCUUUUCAAGGAAGCUGGUAACUGGGGGUUAACUGCUAGGCUUUUGGCCCAGUAAGUUGGAGCACUCAGAGGCUCAGCAUUAGGACUUUUUCAGGACAUUGCACAGUUUGUGUGUUUAAAGCUGGUCUAAGGUGUCACUUUCUGCACCAGGUGUCAGAUCCCAUCCUGUCAUCCACUCCAUACAGGCUACAGUUUCCCACCCAUUACACAGCUGUGUGAAAUGAGGGCUGUGUGGAGUGCAGUGUUGCAAUCACAGCUCACCACUGAUUUUUGCAGCCCCCAGCACUGAGCCCACCCCAGCACAGCCGCAGAGCCGGGGCUGUGACGUGCCCUGAGCUACCUCCUGCAAAUAUUUGUCAAGGUGGAGCCGGGUGUUCAAACACAAGAGGAUCUGAGUAACCGACAGGAAGAAAAAACAGAUCCAGCUUUCACAAGGUAGCUCCAUUGGGAGCUAUUAGCUGGGGCGGUGGGAAGCCAGCAGGCUACGCAGCUGGGGCAGGUGAGCUUUGGGAAAGUCAAACAAAGUCAGGGGAAGUACAUAUCUCUGAUGAUCCUUUUUCUUUUUCUCCCAUGGUUCAAGUUGCUCAGAGAAGCUGUUGGUGCCCCAGCUCUGGAGGUGCUGAAGGCCAGGUUGGAUGAGGCCCUGGGUAGCCUGAGCUGGUAGGGAACAGCCCUGAUCAUGACAGGAGACUGGAACUGGGUGGGUUUUGACAUCCCUUCCAAGCCAAGCCAUUCCAUGAUUUUCUUGAAGCUACUAAAGUUGAUGAGCAUAUAUAAAUAUAUAUAUGAGAAAGAGAGAUAGCUGGCAAUAAUGUGCUUGAGAGUUUGGUUUGGGAUUACUCCUCAGCCUGGCUGGAGAUGGGAAAUAACCCAAAUCUUGGCAGUUACAUGACCUCAUCAUCCUUCCCCCGCCUCGCAUUUGCUGAUCUUUUGGUGAGGCGAUCUGGCAACUGUUCUCAGUGUUUACCCAUAAAGUUUACUCACUGAUGAUUCAAAAAAAUGAGGAAAAAAAAAUAAAGCCCAAAAAUGGAACAAAGCUCAGCCCAUGAGUGGGACAGCUGGGAGGGGGCUUGGGGCACACACAGCCGUCAGUGCUGGCUGUGCUGAAAGCCCCAAGGAGCACGUCUCACCCUUCCUCAUCCCUGCCAUGAGGUUUGCAAUGAGGUCUGUCAUGUCCAUAUGACCUCAGCGUGUCGGUGUGGCUGUGGGUGGCACAGCAGGGACCUGCAGGGAAAUGGGACACAUUCGGGGUUGUUUCAGCACCUCUGCUUGGCCACUGAGUUUGGCAUGUUUGCAGUUGUCUCUACACCAGAGAAUAAAUUUGUAAUACACAACAAAUUAUGUCCCACUCACAGUUGUUGGCCGAAGCCACCCAUAGGAUCUCCUAUGAGAAGCAUCUCUACACACAGAUGAAAACAGGCAAAGAUGACUCAAAGCCACUUUACUGGCUGCAGAAAAGGGGCAGGGUGCCUGGAGUGGUGAUCUACAAUUCACUGUGUUGCUGCGAGGCCUGGCUCUUCAUGGUCUCUAGUAAAUACUAUCACUGCAGCACAGCAGGGUAAUAAAAGGUGAACUGACAGCACAACGGGCAGCUGCAGCCUGACUGGCACCAUGUGGGACUGCUGCAGACUUAAUGUGCACAGAGUACGUCAACGUCAAUCAGGGCUGAGGUCUCUGACAUUUAUUACCGUUGCCACAAAAUAAAGAUUGCACAAAUAUUUAUGCUA
Molecule: long non-coding RNA, 4877 nt
Organism: Coturnix japonica (Japanese quail)
Lineage: Eukaryota; Metazoa; Chordata; Aves; Galliformes; Phasianidae
Source: RefSeq, a predicted model, not a curated record